RNAcentral lists this ribosomal RNA (490 nucleotides) under uncultured bacterium. Its description in RNAcentral is "partial 16S ribosomal RNA". It matches the Rfam family "Bacterial small subunit ribosomal RNA", at positions 28 to 507 of the family's 1533-position model. The record is from RNAcentral.
GAUGAACGCUAGCUACAGGCUUAACACAUGCAAGUCGCAGGGUAACAUGAGGAAAGCUUGCUUUCCUUGAUGACGACUGGCGCACGGGUGAGUAACGCGUAUCCAACCUUCCCAUAACUACGGGAUAACCCGUUGAAAGACGGCCUAAUACCGUAUGAUAUCGUUUGCUGACAUCAAAUAACGAUUAAAGGUUUAGCGGUUAUGGAUGGGGAUGCGUCUGAUUAGCUUGUUGGCGGGGUAACGGCCCACCAAGGCGACGAUCAGUAGGGGUUCUGAGAGGAAGGUCCCCCACAUGGGAACUGAGACACGGUCCAAACUCCUACGGGAGGCAGCAGUGAGGAAUAUUGGUCAAUGGGCGAGAGCCUGAACCAGCCAAGUAGCGUGCAGGACGACGGCCCUAUGGGUUGUAAACUGCUUUUAUGUGGGGAUAAAGUGCGUGACGUGUCAUGCAUUGCAGGUACCACAUGAAUAAGGACCGGCUAAUUCCGUG